Molecule: ribosomal RNA, 602 nt
Filed under: Talaromyces verruculosus
Lineage: Eukaryota; Fungi; Ascomycota; Eurotiomycetes; Eurotiales; Trichocomaceae
Description: eukaryotic LSU rRNA
Rfam family: 5.8S ribosomal RNA (bases 232-385)
Source: RNAcentral
GGAAGUAAAAGUCGUAACAAGGUUUCCGUAGGUGAACCUGCGGAAGGAUCAUUACCGAGUGCGGGCCCUCGCGGCCCAACCUCCCACCCUUGUCUCUAUACACCUGUUGCUUUGGCGGGCCCACCGGGGCCACCCGGUCGCCGGGGGACGUCGUCCCCGGGCCCGCGCCCGCCGAAGCGCCCUGUGAACCCUGAUGAAGAUGGGCUGUCUGAGUACUAUGAAAAUUGUCAAAACUUUCAACAAUGGAUCUCUUGGUUCCGGCAUCGAUGAAGAACGCAGCGAAAUGCGAUAAGUAAUGUGAAUUGCAGAAUUCCGUGAAUCAUCGAAUCUUUGAACGCACAUUGCGCCCCCUGGCAUUCCGGGGGGCAUGCCUGUCCGAGCGUCAUUUCUGCCCUCAAGCACGGCUUGUGUGUUGGGUGUGGUCCCCCCGGGGACCUGCCCGAAAGGCAGCGGCGACGUCCGUCUGGUCCUCGAGCGUAUGGGGCUUUGUCACUCGCUCGGGAAGGACCUGCGGGGGUUGGUCACCACCACAUUUUACCACGGUUGACCUCGGAUCAGGUAGGAGUUACCCGCUGAACUUAAGCAUAUCAAUAAGCGGAGGA